GUCUACAGCCAUGCCACCCUGAACGUACUCAACCUCGUCUGAUCUCGGAAACUAAGCAGGGUCGGGCCUGGUUAGUACUUGGAUGGGAGACCACCUGGGAAUACUGGGUGCUGUAGGCU
This is a ribosomal RNA of Peromyscus californicus insignis, 119 nucleotides long. Lineage: Eukaryota; Metazoa; Chordata; Mammalia; Rodentia; Cricetidae. The record is from RefSeq and is a predicted model, not a curated record.